Molecule: unclassified non-coding RNA, 607 nt
Filed under: Hevea brasiliensis (rubber tree)
Lineage: Eukaryota; Viridiplantae; Streptophyta; Magnoliopsida; Malpighiales; Euphorbiaceae
Source: RNAcentral
UGAGAUCAAAGAUAGGGGAUUGGUGGUCCCAUGGAGCUGCCAGAUUUCAGUGAUUUCUCAUCCAACGGUUGGAGGGUUUCUAACACAUUGUGGGUGGAAUUCUGUGCUGGAGAGUAUAUGGUUUAAUGUUCCGAUGCUGUGUUAUCCUGUGUUCACUGAUCAAAUUACUAAUAGAAAAUUAGUAGUUGAUGAUUGGAAGAUUGGGCUUAAUCUUUGUGAUAGGAAGCUAAUCAGAAGAGAUGAAAUUGCAGAAAAGAUAAAUCGUUUAAUGAGUGGAAAAUCAACCAAUGAUUUGAGGAAGAAUAUGGAGCAAAUCAAAGAGAAAGUAGAGCAUGCAAUAUCCAGCGUUGGAUCCUCAGAAAAAAAUUUCAACCAGUUUAUUGGUAAUCUCAAGUUCAGAAUUUCCAAAGUGGCAAGAUGAGGAAAUAGACUUGCAUUAGGGUUAAGGGAUAGAAUUUGAGUCUCCUUUUCAUCUCAAUUAAAGAAUAAAUUCAAGUCUUCAAAAGUGACCAUUUUAAUGUGAGCAAGCCAAGCAAUGCAUUUGUUAAUAACCAUAUAUAAUUGUUUCUUGUUUUUUUCCAAUGAUAUAAUGAUUAUAAUUAAAAUU